GAUGAACGCUGACAGAAUGCUUAACACAUGCAAGUCUUUGGCGAAGCUGUGCUUGCACAGCCUAGCCAAGGCGGACGGGUGAGUAACGCGUAAGGAACUUGCCCUGCAGUCAGGGAUAACAGACGGAAACGACUGAUAAGACCCGGUAAAGUCAGGCGGACUCAUGUCCAGCCUGAUGAAAAGAGAUGCUGCAGGAGAGCCUUGCGUCCUAUUAGCUUGUUGGUGGGGUAACGGCCCACCAAGGCGAUGAUAGGUAGCCGGCCUGAGAGGGUGGACGGCCACAAGGGGACUGAGAUACGGCCCUUACUCCUACGGGAGGCAGCAGUGGGGAAUAUUGGACAAUGGGGGCAACCCUGAUCCAGCAAUUCUGUGUGCACGAUGAAGGUUUUCGGAUUGUAAAGUGCUUUCAGCAGGGAAGAAAAAAAUGACGGUACCUGCAGAAGAAGCGACGGCUAAAUACGUG
This 463-nucleotide ribosomal RNA is filed under the name uncultured bacterium. RNAcentral's name for it is "partial 16S ribosomal RNA". It matches the Rfam family "Bacterial small subunit ribosomal RNA", at positions 28 to 507 of the family's 1533-position model. The record is from RNAcentral.